RNAcentral lists this ribosomal RNA (581 nucleotides) under Myrichthys maculosus (tiger snake eel). RNAcentral describes it as "partial large subunit ribosomal RNA". It matches the Rfam family "Bacterial large subunit ribosomal RNA", at positions 1848 to 2603 of the family's 2925-position model. Lineage: Eukaryota; Metazoa; Chordata; Actinopteri; Anguilliformes; Ophichthidae. The record is from RNAcentral.
AGAGGUCCCGCCUGCCCAGUGACCACUGCGUUUAACGGCCGCGGUAUCAUAACCGUGCGAAGGUAGCGUAAUCACUUGUCUUUUAAAUGAAGACCUGUAUGAAUGGCACCACGAGGGUUCAACUGUCUCCUUCCCCCAGUCAAUGAAAUUGAUCUGCCCGUGCAGAAGCGGACAUAUAGACAUAAGACGAGAAGACCCUGUGGAGCUUCAGGCUAAAAUUCAAACAUGUAAAGAAAUUUUUCACAAACAAAAGAAUACAAAACAAAUUUAAACCUGAUGCACAUGACCAAAUGCCUUCGGUUGGGGCGACCACGGGGAAGAACAAAGCCCCCGAAUGGAAUGAAGUCACCUUCAGAACUAAGAGACACACCUCUAGGCAACAGAAAAUCUGACCAAAUAUGACCCGGGAUAAACAUUUAAACCCGAUCAAUGAACCAAGUUACCCCAGGGAUAACAGCGCAAUCCUUUCCCAGAGUCCCUAUCGACGAAAGGGUUUACGACCUCGAUGUUGGAUCAGGACAUCCUAAUGGUGAAGCCGCUAUUAAGGGUUCGUUUGUUCAACGAUUAACAGUCCUACGUGA